This is a non-coding RNA of Cinara cedri, 278 nucleotides long. The record is from the annotation of a GenBank genome assembly. NCBI's taxonomy places the organism in Eukaryota, Metazoa, Arthropoda, Insecta, Hemiptera, Aphididae.
CCAGUAUCCUAACGGUUAAAAAUACGCAAUGUAAUUAACGGUAAUAAUAAUCAAAGGAUACCUAACGAAAGGAGGAGAAAAGGAGAAAUUCGACAUUUACGUUUCGCGUCGUUCUAGUAAGGGGAUUGUUCACAGCAUCAUAGUCUGUUGAACACACUUACAGAGGAUAGUUAUUCCGCGGAGAUAAAGAACACGCUCUAAAGUUAACGCAUCUAGGUAUAGUGAUAUUAUAUUAAUAUUCAUAAAAAUUAGUUGUAUCACGAAUUCACGGUUUUUCG